GGGUUUAUUUUUAGCCCAUUACUGUGAUACUGAAACAAUAAAGUUUUCUAAAUGAAAGAGUUGGAAACGUUUUUUUGUAUUUUUUUUUUAAUCUAGUAAUGUAGCUCCCUUGCCUGUAUCUCUUUGUCACAGUGCUGUCAAAAUGAGUCAGUCAAACACCUAAUUUUUGGUGUGAUCAGUACUCAAAUUCUCUGCAUUGGGCUAGAGCCCAAUCCUGCCUCAUGCUGAGCAUCUCUUUCAAGGCACAGAGGACCCUUUCCUCUCUGGCUCAGUGGGAAUGGAAUUCACUCAGCGCUUAGCAAGACGAGGUCCCUAGUUUUUCUGCAACCACACAAGUUUCCUUCCUGUUGUGCACCUGAUAUGUGACUGACUCAAACUGACAUGCAACUUCCACUAUAUUAAAAAAGAGUGAAGAAACUCUUAGGAAGACAGCUUCUCAGACAGCAGAUAGAAAACUGGGCAGAACAGAGCUUUAAACUCCUCUGAUACAGUAAAUCACUGUUUGCAAAACACCUAAUUUUAAGAGCUAUUGGACUGCCCACUGUGCGUUUGACUGCUAGGCCACACGACUGGCUCUAAAAUUUUCCGGGGCUUCUACCAAGGAUAAUUAAAAGAGAAACCUGUAAAGGCAACAUUCCUUCAAGCGAGUUGGUGCUGCAACGUGCUGGGCCUGAUCCUGAAAUCCAAUUACAACACUGGACCUCAGUUGCUAACACUGCAGUUAUUCAGCUGAAAGAAUGA
Molecule: long non-coding RNA, 741 nt
Filed under: Chrysemys picta bellii (western painted turtle)
Lineage: Eukaryota; Metazoa; Chordata; Testudines; Emydidae
Description: lncRNA (ENSCPBG00000027847.1)
Source: RNAcentral